This 424-nucleotide ribosomal RNA is filed under the name uncultured bacterium. RNAcentral describes it as "bacterial SSU rRNA". It matches the Rfam family "Bacterial small subunit ribosomal RNA", at positions 355 to 776 of the family's 1533-position model. The record is from RNAcentral.
UAAGGAAUAUUGGACAAUGGUCGCAAGACUGAUCCAGCCACGCCGCGUGCAGGAUGACUGCCCUAUGGGUUGUAAACUGCUUUUAUACGGGAAAAAUAAGUUGUACGUGUACGACCUUGAUGGUACCGUAAGAAUAAGCACCGGCUAACUUCGUGCCAGCAGCCGCGGUAAUACGAAGGGUGCAAGCGUUAUCCGGAUUUAUUGGGUUUAAAGGGUGCGUAGGCGGGUUGGUAAGUCAGCGGUGAAAGCCUGUAGCUCAACUACAGAACUGCCGUUGAUACUACCGAUCUUGAGUAUGGUUGAUGUUGCUGGAAUGUGCAGUGUAGCGGUGAAAUGCUUAGAUAUUGCACAGAACACCAAUUGCGAAGGCAGGUAACAAAGCCACAACUGACGCUGAGGCACGAAAGUGUGGGGAUCAAACAGG